Molecule: ribosomal RNA, 424 nt
Filed under: Verrucomicrobiota bacterium
Lineage: Bacteria; Pseudomonadati; Verrucomicrobiota
Description: Verrucomicrobia bacterium partial 16S ribosomal RNA
Rfam family: Bacterial small subunit ribosomal RNA
Source: RNAcentral
UGAGGAAUAUUGGUCAAUGGACGCAAGUCUGAACCAGCCAAGUAGCGUGCAGGAUGACGGCCCUAUGGGUUGUAAACUGCUUUUAUAUGGGGAUAAAGUGGGGAACGUGUUCCCUUUUGCAGGUACCAUAUGAAUAAGGGCCGGCUAAUUCCGUGCCAGCAGCCGCGGUAAUACGGAAGGUUCGGGCGUUAUCCGGAUUUAUUGGGUUUAAAGGGAGCGUAGGCCGUUUGGUAAGCGUGUUGUGAAAUGUAGGAGCUCAACUUCUAGAUUGCAGCGCGAACUGUCAGACUUGAGUGCGCACAACGUAGGCGGAAUUCAUGGUGUAGCGGUGAAAUGCUUAGAUAUCAUGAAGAACUCCGAUUGCGAAGGCAGCUUACGGGAGCGCAACUGACGCUGAAGCUCGAAGGUGCGGGUAUCGAACAGG